RNAcentral lists this ribosomal RNA (861 nucleotides) under Triticum aestivum (bread wheat). RNAcentral's name for it is "partial small subunit ribosomal RNA". Lineage: Eukaryota; Viridiplantae; Streptophyta; Magnoliopsida; Poales; Poaceae. The record is from RNAcentral.
UGUCGAACAAGUGAUGUCGACACCGAUGACUUCCCGAUUAAGAUAGGACUGCAUCAGGGGUCCGCUUUGAGCCCUUAUCUUUUUGCAUUAGUGAUGGAUGAGGUCACAAGGGGUAUACAAGGAGAUAUCCCAUGGUGUAUGCUCUUUGCGGAUGAUGUGGUGCUAGUUGACGAUAGUCGGACGGGGGUAAAUAGGAAGUUAGAGUUAUGGAGACAAACCUUGGAAUCGAAAGGGUUUAGACUUAGUAGAACUAAAACCGAGUACAUGAUGUGCGGUUUCAGUACUACUAGCUGUGAGGAGGAGGAGGUUAGCCUUGAUGGCCAGGUGGUACCUCGGAAGGACACCUUUCGAUAUUUGGGGUCAAUGUUGCAGGAGGAUGGGGGUAUUGAUGAAUAUGUGAACCAUCGAAUCAAAGCCGGAUGGAUGAAGUGGCGCCAAGCUUCUGGCAUUCUCUGUGACAAGAGAGUGCCACAAAAGCUAAAAGGCAAGUUCUACAGGACGGCGGUUCGACCCGCAAUGUUGUAUGGCGCGGAGUGUUGGCCGACUAAAAGGCGACAUGUUCAACAGUUAGGUGUGGCGGAGAUGCGUAUGUUGAGAUGGAUGUGUGGCCACAGGAGGAAGGAUCGAGUCCGGAAUGAUGAUAUACGAGAUAGAGUUGGGGUAGCACCAAUUGAGGAGAAGCUUGUCCAACAUCGUUUGAGAUGGUUUGGGCAUAUUCAGCGCAGGCCUCCAGAAGCUCCAGUGCAUAGCGGACGGCUAAAGCGUGCGGAGAAUGUCAAUAGAGGGCGGGGUCGACCGAUUUUGACAUGGGAGGAGUCCGUUAAGAGAGACCUAAAGGAUUGGAGUAUCGACAAAGAGCUA